GACGAACGCUGGCGGCGCGCUUAACACAUGCAAGUCGAACGAGGUCCAACCUUUCGCAAGAUUGGUGAAGAUCUAGUGGCGAACGGGUGAGUAACACGUGAGAAACCUGCCCCGGAGACCGGGAUAACUCACCGAAAGGUGAGCUAAUACCGGAUACCUUCACGACGGCGAAUGUCGAUGUGAAGAAAGGACUCCGCUCUGGGAGGGUCUCGCGGCCUAUCAGCUAGUUGGUGAGGUAACGGCUCACCAAGGCAACGACGGGUAGCUGUUCUGAGAGGAAGAUCAGCCACACUGGGACUGAGACACGGCCCAGACUCCUACGGGAGGCAGCAGUGGGGAAUCUUGCGCAAUGGGCGAAAGCCUGACGCAGCGACGCCGCGUGCGGGAAGAAGGCCUUCGGGUUGUAAACCGCUUUCAGCAGGGACGAAAUUGACGGUACCUGCAGAAGAAGCUCCGGCCAACUACGUGCCAGCAGCCGCAGUAA
RNAcentral lists this ribosomal RNA (484 nucleotides) under uncultured bacterium. Its description in RNAcentral is "bacterial SSU rRNA". It matches the Rfam family "Bacterial small subunit ribosomal RNA", at positions 28 to 523 of the family's 1533-position model. The record is from RNAcentral.